RNAcentral lists this ribosomal RNA (468 nucleotides) under uncultured bacterium. RNAcentral's name for it is "partial 16S ribosomal RNA". It matches the Rfam family "Bacterial small subunit ribosomal RNA", at positions 28 to 507 of the family's 1533-position model. The record is from RNAcentral.
GACGAACGCUGGCGGCGUGCUUAACACAUGCAAGUCGAACGGAAAGGCCCUGCCUUUGUGGGGUGCUCGAGUGGCGAACGGGUGAGUAACACGUGAGUAACCUGCCCUUGACUUUGGGAUAACUUCAGGAAACUGGGGCUAAUACCGGAUAGGAGCUCCUGCUGCAUGGUGGGGGUUGGAAAGUUUCGGCGGUUGGGGAUGGACUCGCGGCUUAUCAGCUUGUUGGUGGGGUAGUGGCUUACCAAGGCUUUGACGGGUAGCCGGCCUGAGAGGGUGACCGGCCACAUUGGGACUGAGAUACGGCCCAGACUCCUACGGGAGGUAGCAGUGGGGAAUAUUGCACAAUGGGCGGAAGCCUGAUGCAGCAACGCCGCGUGCGGGAUGACGGCCUUCGGGUUGUAAACCGCUUUCGCCUGUGACGAAGCGUGAGUGACGGUAAUGGGUAAAGAAGCACCGGCUAACUACGUG